Molecule: small nucleolar RNA, 138 nt
Filed under: Ornithorhynchus anatinus (platypus)
Lineage: Eukaryota; Metazoa; Chordata; Mammalia; Monotremata; Ornithorhynchidae
Source: RNAcentral
UGCCUCUCAGGGUCACACCUGGAGAGUUUCCAGUACUCUAUCAGUCUUGACUACAGGAGGGAGAGUCAAGCAGAGGCCUACCUAUUCCAUUCCUAGCUUGGCCAGUGGCGAGCAAGUGGAAGGCCAUCUGCUACAAAU